AUUGAACGCUGGCGGAAUGCUUUACACAUGCAAGUCGAACGGCAGCACGGGGGCAACCCUGGUGGCGAGUGGCGGACGGGUGAGUAAUACAUCGGAACGUGCCCGGUCGUGGGGGAUAACGUAGCGAAAGUUACGCUAAUACCGCAUACGAUCUGAGGAUGAAAGCGGGGGACCUUCGGUCCUCGCGCGAUCGGAGCGGCCGAUGUCAGAUUAGGGAGUUGGUGGGGUAAAGGCCUACCAAGCCGACUAUCUGUAGCUGGUCUGAGAGGACGACCAGCCACACUGGGACUGAGACACGGCCCAGACUCCUACGGGAGGCAGCAGUGGGGAAUUUUGGACAAUGGGCGCAAGCCUGAUCCAGCCAUUCCGCGUGCAGGACGAAGGCCUUCGGGUUGUAAACUGCUUUUGUAUGGAACGAAAAGGCUCUGGCUAAUACCUGGGGCUCAUGACGGUACCGUAAGAAUAAGCACCGGCUAACUACGUG
This 484-nucleotide ribosomal RNA is filed under the name uncultured bacterium. Its description in RNAcentral is "partial 16S ribosomal RNA". It matches the Rfam family "Bacterial small subunit ribosomal RNA", at positions 30 to 507 of the family's 1533-position model. The record is from RNAcentral.